Molecule: ribosomal RNA, 253 nt
Filed under: uncultured bacterium
Lineage: Bacteria
Description: partial 16S ribosomal RNA
Rfam family: Bacterial small subunit ribosomal RNA
Source: RNAcentral
UACGUAGGGGGCAAGCGUUGUCCGGAAUCAUUGGGCGUAAAGAGCGUGUAGGCGGCCCGAUAAGUCCGCCGUGAAAGUCCAGGGCUCAACCCUGGAAUGCCGGUGGAAACUGUCGGGCUGGAGUCCGGAAGAGGCGAGUGGAAUUCCUGGUGUAGCGGCGAAAUGCGCAGAUAUCAGGAGGAACACCAAUGGCGAAGGCAGCUCGCUGGGACGGUACUGACGCUGAGACGCGAAAGCGUGGGGAGCAAACAGG